GGGGUCAUGGCUCAGUGGUAGAGCACUUGCCUAGCAUGCAUAAGGCACUGGGUUCAAUCCCCAGCCCCA
Molecule: transfer RNA, 69 nt
Filed under: Ictidomys tridecemlineatus (thirteen-lined ground squirrel)
Lineage: Eukaryota; Metazoa; Chordata; Mammalia; Rodentia; Sciuridae
Description: Spermophilus tridecemlineatus (thirteen-lined ground squirrel) tRNA
Rfam family: tRNA
About the family: Transfer RNA (tRNA) molecules are approximately 80 nucleotides in length.
Source: Rfam by way of RNAcentral